RNAcentral lists this ribosomal RNA (468 nucleotides) under uncultured bacterium. RNAcentral describes it as "partial 16S ribosomal RNA". It matches the Rfam family "Bacterial small subunit ribosomal RNA", at positions 28 to 507 of the family's 1533-position model. The record is from RNAcentral.
GACGAACGCUGGCGGCGUGCUUAACACAUGCAAGUCGAACGGAAAGGCCCUGCUUUUGUGGGGUGCUCGAGUGGCGAAAGGGUGAGUAACACGUGAGUAACCUGCCCUUGACUUUGGGAUAACUUCAGGAAACUGGGGCUAAUACCGGAUAGGAGCUCCUGCUGCAUGGUGGGGGUUGGAAAGUUUCGGCGGUUGGGGAUGGACUCUCGGCUUAUCAGCUUGUUGGUGGGGUAGUGGCUUACCAAGGCUUUGACGGGUAGCCGGCCUGAGAGGGUGACCGGCCACAUUGGGACUGAGAUACGGCCCAGACUCCUACGGGAGGCAGCAGUGGGGAAUAUUGCACAGUGGGCGGAAGCCUGAUGCAGCAGCGCCGCGUGCGGGAUGACGGCCUUCUGGUUGUAAACCGCUUUCGCCUGUGACGAAGCGUGAGUGACGGUAAUGGGUAAAGAAGCACCGGCUAACUACGUG